UACGUAGGGUGCAAGCGUUGUCCGGAAUUAUUGGGCGUAAAGAGCUCGUAGGCGGUUCGUCGCGUCGGCUGUGAAAACCCGGAGCUCAACUCCGGGCCUGCAGUCGAUACGGGCGGACUCGAGUUCGGCAGGGGAGACUGGAAUUCCUGGUGUAGCGGUGAAAUGCGCAGAUAUCAGGAGGAACACCGGUGGCGAAAGCGGCGCACUGGACCACAACUGACGCUGAGGCGCGAAAGCUAGGGGAGCAAACAGG
Molecule: ribosomal RNA, 253 nt
Filed under: uncultured bacterium
Lineage: Bacteria
Description: partial 16S ribosomal RNA
Rfam family: Bacterial small subunit ribosomal RNA
Source: RNAcentral